UAAAGAUUAUUUAGUGCAAACACUAAUGGGCAGGGACACCUCCCACUAGGCCAGGCUGUGCACCACAGUCACUUGUUUUCAUGUGAGAAGUGAGAAUGUUAAUUCCUCUCAAAAACCCUUCCCAUCUUCUUUUUCCUAACUCAAAACUAUACAAUAUAUUAAUUUUUAUUACCUUUUUAUGUCAAGUAAGACACAGAUGAGGAUAUACAACAUUUCACUUAUUCCUCAUCCUGCAGCAACAAUAAUUUAUGUCAAGAGCUGUAAAUUGCCAGACCACAGGAAAUAGCAUGAAAUAAAUAUUUCCUAAAAUGCUUGAAUAUGAGAGCUAAUACUUCUAAUAUGUGUGUCUUGUAGCUUGGAUUGGUUCUAAACAGAGUUAAUUGGAUUGUCAUAGUUACAUGGGUAAGUAUUCAAACAUGUCUAAACUUCAUAAAACCUCCUGGAAAGAGAGACAGGCAGUGUCAGAAGAAAUUCAAACCCAAACUUUUAAGACUGUUUGCACAGCAAACUCAACAAACACUUUUGCUGAUCUGCCUGAAACCUGGACCAUUUAAAUGCCAUUAUUCUUUUUGUCGAUGCUCAGACAAGUUUUGGUACAAGCGGAAAACCUAAAAAAAUAUGAAGUUUGCUUAAUAAAACAUAUUAAAAUGGGUGCCAUGAAACUGAAUUAUUUCAACUGGAAUGUAUACACUGGGGAAAAGCAAGAUCUUGAAUAUUCACAUUACAGCUCAUUGAAAAGGCAAUGGGCUAUGCAACAAGAUUGACAACAAAGGGAAAAAUGAUGAGGAAAAUUGCCUUACUUAUCUGCUAGAGUGCUCUUGACUGCCAACUGUAAUUUUAUGGUUCAUUAUAUAAAAAAAUACCAUUAAUGUUAGUACUUGUGUAUCAUAAUCAUGAGAAGAAGGGAAAAAGUUCAUUGAAAUGUGCUCCAUUUUUAAUCAAGACACUAUAAUUGUGUGUUUUUCAGGCAUCAUCAAUUUCCAUCAAUUUUACUGCUGCACAAAUAAUGUGCUGCUAUAGUUCUUCCACAGGUCAAUUCCUGCAUGAGGAUGUCAGGGAGCAAAUCUACAGCAGAGCCUCAACCCCAGAGCAGAGGCCUUUCCUAAGGACUUUCUUCUUGAUAAAAUGAUGAUUCCCAGAUGAUGUUUUCCUAGAUUGAGGAUGCUCAGACUUUCUUUAUUCCAUUCCAUCCAUUUCAACAUUUCAUGGUUGAAACAGACCCUUGGUAAAAGCUGCUCUUUUCUCUUGGGAAUGUGCUGAGUUUUGAAGCCUGGGAAAAUAUGAAUUAUUCUAGAGCAGCAAGUGCUGCAGUGUGUGUGCAUCUGUGUUUGUUGGGAAGUCAAAAUACAAACAGUGGAGAAGAUACCCUCAUUUGUUUUCCACUCCAGUUUUUAAGUGAUAUGUUAGGAAGCAAUCAUAAUAAAGAGGAGCCGAAGGAGCCAAAGAAAUUAUUUCUCAGUGAGACAGCAGCCUGCUGUUAUCGCUAAUCUAAGAGGCACUGGAUAGAGGUCAUCUUCUGAUCAAUGAAGUGAAUUUCACUUUAUGAUGCUGCAAACAGACAGAGAAUGGUACAAUCAAGUGCUUUUGAAGAGAAAACAGAAGCAGCCAGAGAGCAAGGGGAGAACCAUAACAAAAAUAAACAGAUUUAUUGCAAUACAGAGCCUGUUCUACGAGGGCCCUGCAGUGUAGGAAGAGGAUGUUGCCCUCCUUCAGCACCCUGGAUAUUCAGAGUAGUGCCAAGACCUGAAAUCACUUCACCUGCCCAGAACAGUCCUCUGCACAAACAGAAAUAACAACCUGCUCUGCCACAUCCAAAGAUUAUCCCUCCUAAAGGGAAAACAGUUUAGGUUCCAAGCUAAGCACUUCAGCAUGGGGUGUAAUGUGACUUUCAGGAAUUCUGAGCAAGGAAUGCUGACAGCUUUUGUUCCACAGUCUCCACACACUUCAGGGCCUGGCUCUCUGCUUUGCCCAUAUUUUGCUUUUCAAGAGGAAUUUGACUCAAUCAGGUCUUACAGAACUGUCUGAUAUGAUUUUGGUUCUCUAAAUAAUACAGAUUUAAAGGCCUGAUCAAAAUGUUUGCUGCUGAAGUUUAUAGUUUGGAGGAUUAAGCAUGGUAAUUGAGCAAGAAUUGGAUGUGUGAUGCAGUCUGUGCCACAGGAAAGCUUUAAAACAGUCUCUGCUGCUUAUUUUUUCUUUCCACACCUUCCAAAAUCAAUAGAAAGGUAACGAGGGCCCUUGCUGUCAGCAUGGAUUAAUCUGGAAUUCCCUGGCAUCUUCAGAUCCUUGUGCAUCAAAACAUGAGCGUAUAUCAAAAGUUUGAACAGUGGCUCAAAGUGCUCAGGAGUUCAAAAAAAUGACAAGAGCCAGCGAACUAAAACGCCUCCAAUUUCUAUGGUUUGCAAACUUCAAAAAGUGUGAUUGUGCUGGGAGGCUUUGAUCUCAAUAUUACUUUUUUAUUGCCUUUGAAGUCCAAAGCAAAGGGCCAUUGCAGCGGGAUCUGGAGGUGCCGGCUGUUAAUUCCCUAUAGCCACGUUUAAGGUACAGCAUGUCAGCUAUUGACCACUGGAUGCUAAAGAAUGUAACCAUCAUAGAGAGGAUUUUCUUCUUAAAGAAGGUUUCACACUCAGCAGUGUUGGUGCAGUUUGAGUUUUCCCAACAAAAAGACGCUCAGGACCUCAGGAAGGUGUUUUCUAGAAUACCCCACAUUUUUAAUAAUCAGCUGUUACGGCUAAGCAGGAGUUGGAAUUCUGUCAAAAUUACCCACCAAACAGCAGCAUGUGUUAUUUUUGGAGCUGGUGAGGGAAACCUCCAAAUGAGGAGGUUGCUGAGGGGCUGGAAUCUCUGCCUGCUCCUGAGCUGGGAACUUAACUCUGUAAAUUUGCACCAGCCUUCGAACAGCAGAACUGGAAAGGAAAAAUGGAAAGGGCUGCAUUUAUAUGGCUUGUAAAAUAUUCAUUUAUGUGCUGUGCUUGAGGAGCAUCGAUCUCUGGAGAGCAGGAGGUUUCUUCAUCUCAGUCACAUUGCAUUAGAGGGAAGA
Long non-coding RNA from Passer domesticus (house sparrow), 3037 nucleotides. RefSeq lists it as uncharacterized. Lineage: Eukaryota; Metazoa; Chordata; Aves; Passeriformes; Passeridae. The record is from RefSeq and is a predicted model, not a curated record. The transcript is spliced from 3 exons.